GAUGAACGCUGGCGGCGUGCCUAAUACAUGCAAGUCGAGCGAACAGACGAGGAGCUUGCUCCUCUGACGUUAGCGGCGGACGGGUGAGUAACACGUGGAUAACCUACCUAUAAGACUGGGAUAACUUCGGGAAACCGGAGCUAAUACCGGAUAAUAUAUUGAACCGCAUGGUUCAAUAGUGAAAGACGGUUUUGCUGUCACUUAUAGAUGGAUCCGCGCCGCAUUAGCUAGUUGGUAAGUUAACGGCUUACCAAGGCAACGAUGCGUAGCCGACCUGGGAGGGUGAUCGGCCACACUGGAACUGAGACACGGUCCAGACUCCUACGGGGGGCAGCAGUAGGGAAUCUUCCGCAAUGGGCGAAAGCCUGACGGAGCAACGGCGCGUGAGUGAUGAAGGUCUUCGGAUCGUAAAACUCUGUUAUUAGGGAAGAACAAAUGUGUAAGUAACUAUGCACGUCUUGACGGUACCUAAUCAGAAAGCCACGGCUAACUACGUG
Molecule: ribosomal RNA, 497 nt
Filed under: uncultured bacterium
Lineage: Bacteria
Description: partial 16S ribosomal RNA
Rfam family: Bacterial small subunit ribosomal RNA
Source: RNAcentral